GUAGCUCCGAGGUAGAGCACAUGCCUAGCAAGUAUGAGUCCCUGCCUGGGUUUGAUCCCCAGC
RNAcentral lists this transfer RNA (63 nucleotides) under Heterocephalus glaber (naked mole-rat). The record is from Rfam by way of RNAcentral. Lineage: Eukaryota; Metazoa; Chordata; Mammalia; Rodentia; Bathyergidae.